AAUUGGAGGGCAAGUCUGGUGCCAGCAGCCGCGGUAAUUCCAGCUCCAAUAGCGUAUAUUAAAGUUGUUGCAGUUAAAAAGCUCGUAGUUGAAUUUCGGGGUCAGUAGGUUGGUCGUGCCACAGGUAUGAACUGGUCUCACUGAUUCCUCCUUCCUGAUGAACCGUAAUGCCAUUAAUUUGGUGUUGCGGGGAGACUGGACUGUUACUUUGAAAAAAUUAGAGUGUUUAAAGCAGGCUAACGCUUGAAUACAUUAGCAUGGAAUAAUGAAAUAGGACGUUCGAUCUUAUUUUGUUGGUUUCUAAGAUUGACGUAAUGAUUAAUAGGGAUAGUUGGGGGCAUUAGUAUUCAAUUGUCAGAGGUGAAAUUCUUGGAUUUAUUGAAGACUAACUACUGCGAAAGCAUUUGCCAAGGAUGUUUUCAUUAAUCAAGAACGAAAGUUAGGGGAUCGAAGACGAUCAGAUACCGUCGUAGUCUUAACCAUAAACUAUGCCGACUAGGGAUCGGAUGAUGUUAAUUUUUUAAUGACUCAUUCGGCGCCUUACGGGAAACCAAAGUGU
Molecule: ribosomal RNA, 559 nt
Filed under: uncultured Glomus
Lineage: Eukaryota; Fungi; Glomeromycota; Glomeromycetes; Glomerales; Glomeraceae
Description: SSU rRNA
Rfam family: Eukaryotic small subunit ribosomal RNA
Source: RNAcentral